CAGGACCCUGCGAGGCGGCCAGCAGAGGAGGAGGUGGAGGGGAGGACUGAGACCUCUGCCCAGGACUGGUGUCCUUAGAGAAGGAGAUGAGACCAGGGAUGCGCGGAGAGGAUGACACGUGAGGACACUGGGCGGAGACAGCUGUCUGCAUGCCAAGGAGGGAGGCCCCGGAAGAACCAGCCUUGUGGCACCCCCAUCUCGGACUUCAGCCUCCAGAAUUCUGCCCUGUCCGGGGCUGAACCCUGGCCCCAAACCCUGCCCUCCAGGUAGACCCCCACGGGGACGCGCCGCCGGCCCUCA
Long non-coding RNA from Cervus elaphus (red deer), 300 nucleotides. RefSeq lists it as uncharacterized. The record is from RefSeq and is a predicted model, not a curated record. Lineage: Eukaryota; Metazoa; Chordata; Mammalia; Artiodactyla; Cervidae. The transcript has 3 exons.